CAGAGGCAGAGAGACACCAUGGAUCCGCCAGAGACAGACGCUGGGAAUUUUACCAAAUUAAUUGCAUGUCUGUUAUCUUCUGCUACCUCUCCAGGGCCCAAAAGUAGAUCUGCUUAUAUAUAGACUGAAGAAUUCCAGCCGGCAUCCGGCAGCCACAGAGAAGGUAUCGGGAGAAGUCACAUCAUCUCCAGGUAGAAGUUACUGUUGCCCCAGCCUUUCUGAGGAAGAGAGCAUGACAUUCUCUCUUUAUAGAGACCAUCUGCCUCUCUAGCCUUAACUUUGUCUUUGCUUGCAAUUGUCAACAUAGGCUUACCAUCAUGGCAAGUGUUUCUGCAUCAUCAGAUUGAGACCAGACCCCAACUUGCGGAUGGGGAUUCAGGAAUUCAAAGGCAGAGGG
Molecule: long non-coding RNA, 397 nt
Organism: Arvicola amphibius (Eurasian water vole)
Lineage: Eukaryota; Metazoa; Chordata; Mammalia; Rodentia; Cricetidae
Exons: 3
Source: RefSeq, a predicted model, not a curated record